UGAGUAACGCGUAUGCAACCUACCUAUCGAGACGGGGAAUAACCCGGCGAAAGUCGGACUAAUACCGCAUAAACAGGGGCACCGCAUGUGAUAUUGUUAAAGAAUUCGCUGAUAGAUGGGCAUGCGUUCCAUUAGGUAGUUGGUGAGGUAACGGCUCACCAAGCCGACGAUGGAUAGGGGAACUGAGAGGUUGGUCCCCCACACUGGUACUGAGACACGGACCAGACUCCUACGGGAGGCAGCAGUGAGGAAUAUUGGUCAAUGGGCGGGAGCCUGAACCAGCCAAGUCGCGUAGAAGGAAGAAGGAUCUAUGGUUCGUAAACUUCUUUGCAGGGGAAUAAAGUGCAGGACGUGUCCUGUUUUGUAUGUACCCUGAGAAUAAGGAUCGGCUAACUCCGUGCCAGCAGCUGC
Molecule: ribosomal RNA, 411 nt
Filed under: uncultured bacterium
Lineage: Bacteria
Description: bacterial SSU rRNA
Rfam family: Bacterial small subunit ribosomal RNA
Source: RNAcentral